Poecile atricapillus (Black-capped chickadee) is the source of this 740-nucleotide long non-coding RNA. RefSeq lists it as uncharacterized. The record is from RefSeq and is a predicted model, not a curated record. The transcript has 3 exons. NCBI's taxonomy places the organism in Eukaryota, Metazoa, Chordata, Aves, Passeriformes, Paridae.
AGUGAUUGGCACAGGCAUCAGUUGUGCAAUUCUCUUUCCGAGGGCACUGAAGAACAGUGAAGCAAAGUAGUGGGUCGGAGUUCUGAGCUGGCUUAAAAGGCACCACUGACAUGGCUAACAGAACAAACUCCUCUGAGUAUUUCUGGUCUUACGAAUAUUACUGGGAUUACAUAGAUCCAAUUCCAGUAGAUGGAAGCAAGUUGAAGAUUAAUAAAUACUCCAUCGUCAUUGCCUUUUGGGUUGGCCUUGCUGCGUUUGUGACGUUUCUUUUCCUUAUUUUACUGUGUAUGUCCUGCUCUGGAUCAACGCCAGCAAAUCCAGGAAUUUAGCACGGCCUUGGGUGAGCAACGGAAUUCCUCUGGAAUUUAUAGUUCCAUUCAUUACUUCUUUCAAGUGUCGGUAUCUAAGUUUAUCUACCAGCAGGCCCACAGUUUCUUUGUAAAGACAUCUUCUCAUUCCUUUCAGCACGUCUGCGAACGGGAGAGCGGGGUCGGGCAGGAGUUCAUUAGGCAGUGACAGCACUCGUGCUAAUUAAUGGGCACGAGAGCACCCAGAGCAGCUCCCGGGACGGAGCGCUUGCCACCCCAAUGUUUUGGAAUCACUGUUCGAUCCCAGCGGUUUGAAGUUUGGGAAUGCUGUGGGACACGUCCAGGGUGUCAGUAAUGUUUUUUUUAAAGAAAGCCUCCAAGGAGCGGUGGAAGAAAACAAUAAAUAAUAUUGCCUACCUACUGUCCGUGUCC